Molecule: non-coding RNA, 103 nt
Organism: Artomyces pyxidatus
Lineage: Eukaryota; Fungi; Basidiomycota; Agaricomycetes; Russulales; Auriscalpiaceae
Source: the annotation of a GenBank genome assembly
GCUUCCUUAGCUCAGUUGGUAGAGCGCAGGUCUCAUACAACACGUAUGACUAAGCAAUGCUUAGGUAAUCCUGAGGUCGACAGUUCGAGCCUGCCAGGGAGCA